AGCUCUAAUAGCGUAUAUUAAAGUUGUUGCAGUUAAAAAUCUCGUAGUUGGAUUCCUGGUGGGAGGAAUCGGUUCUGCACUCUUUGUAGGAACUUGAAUCCUCUCCAGCCAUCACUAGGUGGAUCUUGUCUGGCAUUAAGUUGUCAGUCAGGGAAUGCCCAUCGUUUACUGUGAAAAAAUUAGAGUGUUCAAAGCAGGCUUUUGCCAUUGAAUAUAUAAGCAUGGAAUAAUAAGAUAAGGCCCUGGUACUAUUUUGUUGGUUUGCGUACCGAGAUAAUGAUUAAUAGGGGCAGUUGGGGGUAUUUGUAUUCAGUAUUCAGUGGUGAAAUACUUAGACCUACGGAAGAUACACUACUGCGAAAGCAUUUACCAAGGAUGUUUUCA
RNAcentral lists this ribosomal RNA (384 nucleotides) under uncultured eukaryote. Its description in RNAcentral is "partial small subunit ribosomal RNA". It matches the Rfam family "Eukaryotic small subunit ribosomal RNA", at positions 587 to 972 of the family's 1831-position model. The record is from RNAcentral.